GUCUAUGGCCAUGCCAGUCUGAACACACUCGAUCCUGUCUGAUCAUGGAAGCUAAGCAGGGUGAGGCCUGGUUAGUACUUCGAUGGGAGGCCACCUAGGAAGACCAGGUGCUGUAAGUG
Molecule: ribosomal RNA, 119 nt
Filed under: Pteropus alecto (black flying fox)
Lineage: Eukaryota; Metazoa; Chordata; Mammalia; Chiroptera; Pteropodidae
Source: RNAcentral